ACGGCUCAGUAACACGUGGCUAACCUAGCCUUGGGACAGGGACAACCCCGGGAAACUGGGGCUAAUCCCUGAUGGGUGAGGAGGCCUGGAAUGGUUCCUCGCUGAAAGGACACUGAAACCAUGCUUUUCAGCGUUGCCCAAGGAUGGGGCCGCGGCCGAUCAGGUUGUUGGUGGGGUAACGGCUCACCAAGCCUUUGACCGGUACGGGCCGUGAGAGCGGGAGCCCGGAGAUGGGCACUGAGACAAGGGCCCAGGCCCUACGGGGCGCAGCAGGCGCGAAAACUCCGCAAUGUGCGAAAGCGUGACGGGGCUAUCCCGAGUGCCGUCCGCUGAGGAUGGCUUUUCCACGGUGUAAGGAGCCGUGGGAAUAAGGAGAGGGCAAGACUGGUGCCAGCAGCCGCGGUAAUACCAGCCCCCUGAGUGAUAGGGACGAUUAUUUAGCCUAAAGCGUUCGUAGCCGGUCAAGCAAGUCUUUCGUUAAAUCUGACGACUCAAUCGUCAGACCGCGGAAGAUACUACUAGACUAGAGGGCGGGAGAGGUUGACGGUAUUCCUGGGGUAGGGGUGAAAUCCUAUAAUCCUAGGAGGACCACCAGUGGCGAAGGCGGUCGACCAGAACGCGCCUGACGGUGAGGGACGAAAGCUGGGGGAGCGAACCGGAUUAGACACCCGGGUAGUCCCAGCUGUAAACGAUGCGGGCUGGGUGUUGGGGCAGCUACGAGUUGCCUCAGUGCCGCAGAGAAGUUGUUAAGCCCGCCGCUUGGGAAGUACGGCCGCAAGGCUGAACUUAAAGGAAUUGGCGGGGGAGCACCACAGGGUGAAGCCUGCGUUCAUUGGAGUCACGCCGGA
This 848-nucleotide ribosomal RNA is filed under the name uncultured archaeon. RNAcentral describes it as "bacterial SSU rRNA". It matches the Rfam family "Archaeal small subunit ribosomal RNA", at positions 85 to 922 of the family's 1478-position model. The record is from RNAcentral.